This 816-nucleotide ribosomal RNA is filed under the name uncultured delta proteobacterium. RNAcentral describes it as "bacterial SSU rRNA". It matches the Rfam family "Bacterial small subunit ribosomal RNA", at positions 389 to 1192 of the family's 1533-position model. The record is from RNAcentral. Lineage: Bacteria; Deltaproteobacteria.
CAGCACGCCGCGCGAGUGAAGAAGGCCCUUGCAUCGGAAGGCUCUGUCAGCUGGGAAGAAGCUGCAUAGCAUUCACAGUGAUAUGUAUUGACGGUACCAGUGGAGGAAGCGCCGGCCAACUCCGUGCCAGCAGCCGCGGUAACACGGGGGGCGCAAGCGUUAUUCGAGAAUUAUUGGGCGUAAAGGGCGCGUAGGCGGUCUUGUCAGUCAGAUGUGAAAGCCCGGGGCUCAACCCUGGAAGUGCAUUUGAAACAGCAAGACUUGAGUACGGGAGAGGAAAGCGGAAUUCCUGGUGUAGAGGUGAAGUUCGUAGAUAUCAGGAGGAACACCGAUGGCGAAGGCAGCUUUCUGGACCGAUACUGACGCUGAGGCGCGAAGGCGUGGGUAGCGAACAGGAUUAGAUACCCUGGUAGUCCACGCAGUAAACGAUGUUCACUAGGUGUAGCGGGUAUUAAAACUUGCUGUGCCGCAGCUAACGCAUUAAGUGAACCGCCUGGGAAGUACGGUCGCAAGACUAAAACUCAAAGGAAUUGACGGGGGCCCGCACAAGCGGUGGAGCAUGUGGUUUAAUUCGACGCAACGCGAAGAACCUUACCUGGGUUUGACAUCCUGUGAAUCUUCCAGAGAUGGAAGAGUGCCUUCGGGAGCACAAAGACAGGUGCUGCAUGGCUGUCCUCAGCUCGUGUCGUGAGAUGUUUGGUUUAAUCCAGCAACCAACGCCACCCCUUAUCGUUUGUUGCCCACCCGUAAUGGUGGGAACUCUUACGAGACUGCCCCCGUUAAAGGGGAAGAAAGGUGGGGAUUAACNUCAAGUCC